This 660-nucleotide ribosomal RNA is filed under the name uncultured bacterium. Its description in RNAcentral is "bacterial SSU rRNA". It matches the Rfam family "Bacterial small subunit ribosomal RNA", at positions 1 to 662 of the family's 1533-position model. The record is from RNAcentral.
GUACGCGCGGAUCUUCCAGUAAGAUUAGAGUUUGAUCCUGGCUCAGGAUGAACGUUGGCGGUGUGCCUAAUACAUGCAAGUCGAACGGAGCUAAUAGCAAUAUUGGCUUAGUGGCGAACGGGUGAGUAACGCGUUGGUGAUCUGCCUUGAAGUGUGGAAUAACGUUCCGAAAGGAUCGCUAAUACCGCAUGUGCUCUCGAUUUUCAGAAAGUUGAGAGUAAAGGAUUUAUUCGCUUCAAGAGGAGCCUGCGUCCCAUCAGCUGGUUGGUAGGGUAACGGCCUACCAAGGCUAUGACGGGUAGGGGACCUGAGAGGGUGGCCCCCCACAAUGGAACUGAAACACGGUCCAUACACCUACGGGUGGCAGCAGUAGGGAAUAUUAGAAAUGGACGAAAGUCUGAUCUAGCAACACCGCGUGUGCGAAGAAGGCCUUCGGGUCGUAAAGCACUUUUUGGAAGGAAUAGGAAGGAAGGUACUUCCAGAAUAAGUCUCGGCUAACUACGUGCCAGCAGCCGCGGUAACACGUAGGAGGCAAACGUUAUCCGGAUUUACUGGGCGUAAAGCGCGUGUAGGUGGUUCUGUAAGUAGGGCGUGAAAGCUCCCGGCUCAACUGGGAGAGGCCGUUCUAAACUGCAGAGCUAGAGGAUGGUAGAGGGAGGU